GCUACUGUUAUAUAGGGGUUAGGGUCGUGGUCGACCCCCUGGACGCGCCCCUAAUGGGCCCAUCAACUAUACACGGCCCAAAGGCCAAAAUAAGGCGACGCAGCGCCGGGACAGAUUCUGGACGCCAUCUUGUUUCGACGAUUCCCGUUGACUCAGGAUGAAUUUAGGCAUGGAACCAGUGCCAUUGGAAAAUAGAUCUUCUAAACUUUCCAACCAUAUAUAGAACAUCCAAAACGGAGUCCGUAUGCGGUCUGGGCAUCCAAAUCACUGUGG
RNAcentral lists this long non-coding RNA (273 nucleotides) under Setaria italica (foxtail millet). Its description in RNAcentral is "long non-coding RNA (SITA_LNC002410)". Lineage: Eukaryota; Viridiplantae; Streptophyta; Magnoliopsida; Poales; Poaceae. The record is from RNAcentral.